Molecule: ribosomal RNA, 424 nt
Filed under: uncultured bacterium
Lineage: Bacteria
Description: bacterial SSU rRNA
Rfam family: Bacterial small subunit ribosomal RNA
Source: RNAcentral
GAAUCUUGGUCAAUGGGCGCAAGCCUGAACCUGCGACGCCGCGUGAGUGAUGAAGGCCUUCGGGUUGUAAAGCUCUGUGGGGCGAGACGAAAAAGCCCGUUCUAAUAGGACGGGUGUUGACGGUACCGCCUUAGCAAGCACCGGCUAACUCUGUGCCAGCACCCGCGGUAAGACAGAGGGUGCAAACGUUGCUCGGAAUCACUGGGCGUAAAGGGCGUGUAGGCGGGAAGGUAAGUCAGAUGUGAAAUCCCCAGGCUCAACCUGGGAACUGCAUUUGAAACUGCCUUUCUUGAGUGUCGGAGAGGAAAGUGGAAUUCCUGGUGUAGAGGUGAAAUUCGUAGAUAUCAGGAGGAACACCGGUGGCGAAGGCGGCUUUCUGGACGACAACUGACGCUGAGACGCGAAAGCGUGGGGAGCAAACAGG